This 495-nucleotide ribosomal RNA is filed under the name uncultured bacterium. Its description in RNAcentral is "partial 16S ribosomal RNA". It matches the Rfam family "Bacterial small subunit ribosomal RNA", at positions 28 to 507 of the family's 1533-position model. The record is from RNAcentral.
GACGAACGCUGGCGGCGUGCCUAAUACAUGCAAGUAGAACGCUGAAGGAGGAGCUUGCUUCUCUGGAUGAGUUGCGAACGGGUGAGUAACGCGUAGGUAACCUGCCUGGUAGCGGGGGAUAACUAUUGGAAACGAUAGCUAAUACCGCAUAAUAGUAGAUGUCGCAUGACAUUUGCUUAAAAGGUGCAAUUGCAUCACUACCAGAUGGACCUGCGUUGUAUUAGCUAGUUGGUGAGGUAACGGCUCACCAAGGCAACGAUACAUAGCCGACCUGAGAGGGUGAUCGGCCACACUGGGACUGAGACACGGCCCAGACUCCUACGGGAGGCAGCAGUAGGGAAUCUUCGGCAAUGGACGGAAGUCUGACCGAGCAACGCCGCGUGAGUGAAGAAGGUUUUCGGAUCGUAAAGCUCGGUUGUAAGAGAAGAACGAGUGUGAGAGUGGAAAGUUCACACUGUGACGGUAGCUUACCAGAAAGGGACGGCUAACUACGUG